Non-coding RNA from Punica granatum (pomegranate), 2108 nucleotides. NCBI's taxonomy places the organism in Eukaryota, Viridiplantae, Streptophyta, Magnoliopsida, Myrtales, Lythraceae. The record is from RefSeq and is a predicted model, not a curated record.
AAAGGAUCUGUCUCUCAGAUUUUUCAGAAUCCCCGAAGAUUCCGCUCUUCUUCAUCUUUCCUUCGAGGAUGAGAUUAUCGCAGAGGGCAAUCACUGAAGGUUCCACAUUUCGACCUUUGGUGACGUAAAAACAUCUGCGCAGACGCCGAAUGUCAGGAGCUUCGUAAGCGCUGCCUAUGCUUCUGUCGUUUUUAUUCCUUCGUGGCUAUCUUCACUGCUUUGAGCUGCUGGUGUACUCUACACACAGUGUCAGAUUGUGGCAGCUCUUUAGAGAAAGAAGCCGACCCUAGUAAAAGUCCUGACCUUUAUAGGGAUAUGUACAUAUCUGCUAGCUACUCUUUGUGUGCUUCAUUUCGUCGUCAUCGCUUAAAGAGGAGGCUCUUCAAUUAGAUUAUUUAUUUGUUGACUUGUUGAUGUGAAGUGUAAAUUACAAAACAGUGGUCAUGCUUCUGAUGGGUAGGUGCUUGGUUUGCAUUUCCUUUUUGCUACUCAAGAAUGAAUGAGUAUAAUUUUAAUCUACUGGAAUGUGUUCUCUAUACCAUUGUAAGAAGGUGGGAUAUAUUUACCCUUUGGUUGUUGAUGAGUUUAGUUGGAAGCAUCAUGAAAUUCUCCGAAAAGAAAAUUUCUAUUUUGUAGGAUGAUGCCCUUAAUCUCUAUCCAUUAGGUUCGCCAAUUUUGUCUCUGCAUUUAAUAUCUUUCACAGAGUGGUCAUUGCUCAAUUUUCUGGAAUAUUAGAUUGUCAUAUGCCUUUGCGCUGUCAAAGAGGCCUCUACAAUUUUUCUUGUCAUUUUUCUAUCGUCUUUCAUGAUGUAUCCCGCCUUUGUGUAUUUACUGCCCCAAUCGUUAUAUUUAUGUAGAUAGUUUAUUAAUUUACAUGAUAAUUACUGCUGUAUGUUUUACUUGUGCUGAUGGCACACUCGAAUGCAAUAUCCGUGGUGGUGGAAGUCCAACCCUCUCAGGUGAAAAAGAAUUGUUGGUGAACUCAGUCACAACUCAAUAAUAAUAGGUGCUUCGACUCUCUGUUGGGAGUUUAAUUUUCUGUGAUAGUGGAGGUUUAAUAAUUAUUCCUGCAUGGUAUUUUGCAAUAAAUUCAGAGUAUAAAUAGUAGUAUUGCCUAAUUUCUUCCUCAAAAUGGCAAUGGGCAAAAUUUGCAAUAGAACACCUGUAUUAGAAUAUUUGAUGAUAGAAGUGCAUAUAUAUCUCAUAACAAUGGUAUGGUAGCUGCAUUAUAGAGCUUAAAACAUAUUUUGACACUCUAGAUAUGCACAUGACAGUUUUUGUAAUAUGCAUUGUUGAAAUUCAAAUAUAUUGUGCGAAAGAUAAUGACAUGUUUCAUAGCAGAUAAACAAAUUAACAUUAAGGUUUAAUUAUAUAUAGGAUAGGGGGAAAAGAAUUUCACAUCUAGCAGUUUAAAAAACUUGUUACAUAGGCUUUAUAGGUUGACCUCCUGGUUCAGAAAACCUCUUCUCAAGGUCUCUAUGCUACUGUUGAGAGAACAUAAUAGUCAGAAGAACUGGAAGAAGAACACUGUGCUUAUUAUACAAAAGAAAAUUUGUCAAUUCCUUUUGCAGUGAGGGGUGGAAAGGACAAAGAGUUAUUUGCAUCUAGUAAUAUGACCAAUUUGGAGAUGUUUGAAUCCAUUAGAAGAGCUGGGAAAAAGAAACUGUAAAUUAAUACGCACACAUGUUAAAGGUUGGAGUUUCAUUUCUCUGCAACGGUCGAAACUCCUUAACUAUAUCAAUAAAUAUUUUCUAUAUUACUUACAUAUCUCUGUUAGUACAGAAAAUGUUAAAGAUGGAGCCGGUGCUGCCUUUGGACUCUAUGGGAGCAACAAACCAACAUGCAAGUUCAGUGAUGACUAAAGAUUCUGCGGAGAAGUAAACAAUAGUAUGUGAAGUCUGUAUUCAUUUAGUUUUAGUGUAUAUAUAUAUAUAGAAGGGGACGAGAUUCUUAUCGAAGUGAAGAACUUAUUGGUAAGUCUCUCUCAGCCUUUAUCUCUGCUCUGUUCCGAUUCCGAUAGAGCUCCAAAUGUGUAAAUAUUCUGCAGAUAAAAACAACAUUGUACAGUUAUAUAGAGAUAUAGCGAGAGAGCUUCUAUCAAAAGAAAA